This 770-nucleotide small RNA is filed under the name Pongo abelii (Sumatran orangutan). RNAcentral describes it as "processed transcript". The record is from RNAcentral. Lineage: Eukaryota; Metazoa; Chordata; Mammalia; Primates; Hominidae.
AAAACAGGGUGUGAAAGGCAUCUCAGCAGCUGCCCCACCAUGGCUACCUGGGCCCUCCUGCUCCUUGCAGCCACGCUCCUGGGCAACCCAGCCCCUGCCUCCGCAUCUGUGUGGUGAAGGCCAUUGGCCCUCAUCGGUGGGUCUGCGUUUCCUCGGGCCUACACUGUCUAGGAUUGUGCAGGGCUGGUGAGAGAAUGAGACCUCUUCCGUGUUCAAGGCAGACUUCCUGCCCCCUGCACCCUGCUCUCUCCCAGGCCUUGGGGUCAGUGUGAGCCCCAAGGGCAAGGACACUUCUGGAAGGGAGAGUGGAUUUGGCUGGGCCAUCUGGAUGGAAGGUCUGGUCUUCUCUCGUCUGAGCCCUGAGUACUAUGACCUGGCAACAGCCCACCUGUGUGACGAGGAGAAAUCCUGCCCGUGCCUGGCCCAGGAGGGCCCCCAGGGUGACCUGUUGACCAAAACACAGGAGCUGAGCUAUGACUGCAGAACCUGUCUGAGCAUAGUCCAAACACUGAAGGCUAUGGUGAAUCAGCCCACCCAGGAUCUUACUCUGAGACCCAGGCUGGAGUGCAGUGGUGUGAUCUUGGCUCACUGCAACCUCUGCCUCCCUGGCCCAAGAAAUUCUCCUGCCUGAGCCCCCGAGUACCUGGGGCUCCAGGUGUGCACCACCACGCCCAGCUAAUUUUUGUACUUUUGUAGAAACAGGGUCUCACUGUGUUGCCCAGGCUGGUCUCCGACUUCUGAGCUGAAGCAAUCCACCUGCCUUGGCCUCC